UACGUAGGGUGCAAGCGUUAGUCGGAUUUACUGGGCGUAAAGCGUGCGUAGGUGGUUUCGUAAGUCCGAUGUGAAAGCCCUGGGCUCAACCUGGGAACUGCAGUGGAUACUGCGAGGCUAGAGUGUGUCAGAGGAUGGUGGAAUUCCCGGUGUAGCGGUGAAAUGCGUAGAGAUCGGGAGGAACACCAGUGGCGAAGGCGGUCAUCUGGGACAGUACUGACGCUGAGGCACGAAAGCGAGGGGAGCGAACUGG
RNAcentral lists this ribosomal RNA (253 nucleotides) under uncultured bacterium. RNAcentral's name for it is "partial 16S ribosomal RNA". It matches the Rfam family "Bacterial small subunit ribosomal RNA", at positions 524 to 776 of the family's 1533-position model. The record is from RNAcentral.